CGCAUGAGUGGGGAUAAGUUUAAUUGAAAACAAAACGUGGGAUAGUUGAGAACAUCUGAAAUGCUAUUUGUAGCUCAAGGCUAGGCAUAUGAAGAAUAUUUAGUACUGGGAGUACUGCAGAGAGAUUAUAUAGUAUGUGUUUAUCCAUUCCAACUGCAGUGUGAAUGACUAAAGAAUAUUCUAAAGUUCAUUGGAGAGAGACACACACACACACACACAGCCAACAUGACACACACAGCCAACACACACAGUGUAGAUAAACAAGUACAUAAGAGUGGGUGGGACAUAUCCAGGUGGGUUCCUCUGCUAGCCUAAAGCUUAGCUUAAUAUGAACAAUUCCAAAAGGGCAGGAAACUGGCAUGACAUAAUGUCCGAGCAGGAGCUCUGUUGUGAUAGAAUCAGGAUGUACAGGGAGGCUAAUGUUUGUUAAACAAUGUCAACUGACGAGAGGGCAGUGUCAUGCAUGUUACGAACGGAUGGCAGUGGGGGUUUACUCGCUCGCCUACGAAUUCUCAGAAGGGAGCCCGAUCUCCGCCCCCUUUUUGUCCGUCUUCUCUUCACGCAAAUGAUGUGGAUUUGGGCCUGUUCCCAGGAAAGCAGUAUAUCCUUCACGUCGGACUUGUUAAAGGAAAAAGGUUCUACCAGUUUGUGGCAAUGAUGUCAUCUGAACUAGAGUAAACCCUACCAAGCUACCCGGCAAACCACAACAGAGAAGUGAAGGGGUCGCUUGGAGAGAACAUCAAGAUCAAAUCCAAUGAAGCAAGCAGGAACCCUUACCGUGUGAAUGUGGGAAAAAAAUGUUUUGUUAUAAAAUACGGUCAUUUUUGCAUUUCAGUAAGAUUGCAAACACUAUACUUUUAAAAAAGUGUCUAGAUAAAUACCCUGGUAGUGUCGACUAAUUAUUGCUGUACAUUUGUUGUUGCUGUGAACAUAUUACUGCCAGCUUCCC
Molecule: long non-coding RNA, 949 nt
Organism: Oncorhynchus keta (chum salmon)
Lineage: Eukaryota; Metazoa; Chordata; Actinopteri; Salmoniformes; Salmonidae
Exons: 3
Source: RefSeq, a predicted model, not a curated record